Molecule: ribosomal RNA, 406 nt
Filed under: uncultured bacterium
Lineage: Bacteria
Description: partial 16S ribosomal RNA
Rfam family: Bacterial small subunit ribosomal RNA
Source: RNAcentral
AUUGAACGCUGGCGGCAGGCCUAACACAUGCAAGUCGAACGAGUGGCGGACGGGUGAGUAAUGUCCGGGAAACCGCCUGAUGGAGGGGGAUAACUACUGGAAACGGUAGCUAAUACCGCAUACCAUCAGAUGUGCCCAGAUGGGCUUAGCUUGUUGGUGGGGGAACGGCUCACCAAGGCGACGAUUCCUAGCUGGUCUGAGAGGAUGACCAGCCACACUGGAACUGAGAACCGGUCCAGACUCCUACGGGAUGCAGCAGUGGGGAAUAGUGCACAAUGGGCGCAAGCCUGAUACAGCCAUGCCGCGUGUAUGAAGAAGGCCUUCGGGUUGUAAAGUACUGUCAGCGGGGAUGCGUUACCCGCAGAAGAAGCACCGGCUAACUCCGUGCCAGCAGCCGCGGUAAUUC